Molecule: long non-coding RNA, 2808 nt
Filed under: Homo sapiens (human)
Lineage: Eukaryota; Metazoa; Chordata; Mammalia; Primates; Hominidae
Description: non-protein coding lnc-CHAT-3:1
Source: RNAcentral
AAAGCUGUCUCCGCUGCCGGUCAGCUGGGUGGCUUGCGAAGGACGCUUCGCCCCUAGCGAAAAAUACCCUGCUGGCAAGGCAGUUAUGAAAGUUAAGACAUAUUUCCACGUAGAGGGGGAUGCGGGUGUGCCAUGCGAAUGUAAAUCCUCACAAUUAACCUUGAACCCUGCAGAGAAAGUCAGCUUGGGCAGGGAAGUUAGCCGCACUUUUUGGUCGCCAGGCUGUGACCUCUCUUGUUGUCUCCCACGACUGAACACGGGAAGGAUGGAGAGCUGUCCUGCUUCUCUGUUCCCCCUCCGCCACGCGCGCACCUGGGCGGAGUGAGUGCCUACAGAGCCUGCUUACAUGUGUACAUUGCCUUAAGUCCAGCGUUUAGUAUCCGUCCUCAGAUCUCAGAGGUAGGCGGGGUUUCGAGGCAGGCGAGAAUUUUACCGUGGUGCGUUUGAAGAAAGAAGAUGUCCACACAGAGGUUCAGAACAAUGGGAGGAAGUUGAGCUUCGCCUGGGGAAAGAAGCAGCCCACGAUGCAGGAUGGCUGUACCAGACAGAGCUUCUCAGCUCAGGAUCGGUGCUAGGAGAAGGUGGACUUUCCAGGGCCGCGAGGCAGGACGUCCUCUGGGAGGGCAGUGACUGCGGGUCACUGCCUGGGAAGUGCUGUCCUCACUUGGAAGCCUGAAGUCGGACAAUAGGGAAAUGGGGUCGGAAAGGGGACUAGGAAAUGCUCCAUAACAUCAUCUUAUUCCUCCUGUCAGCGGCCCCAACCCACAAUGUAACUUGUUUUUGUUGGUGGUAGUGGGUUUUUUUGUUUGUUUUGUUUUUGUUUUUGUUUUUGAGACGGAGUUUUGCUCUUGUCGCCCAGGAUGGAGUACAAUGGCACGAUGUGGGCUCACUGCAACCUCCUCCUCCCAGGUUCAAGCGAUUCUCCUGCCUCAGCCUGCCGGGUAGCUGGGAUUACAGGCGCCUGCCACCAUGCCCAGCUAAUUUUUGUGUUUUUAGUAGAGACGGGGUUUCGUCAUGUUAGCCAAGCUGUCCGCGAACUCCUGACCUCAGGUGAUCCACCCGCCUCGGCCUCCUAGAGUUCUGGGAUUACAGGUGUGAGCCACCACGCCCGGCUUGUAACUUGCUUUUUUUUUUUUUUAAAGGAGAAAGAAUUCUAGCGAUUUCUUGGAUAAAAUAUUAAGAAUAGAAAGGCAGUUGAUUGACAUUAGUUUCAAUGCUUGAAAGUAAAAGCAGAUAUAUAGUGGAUCCCAACUUUUGAGACUGAGGUUCCCUUUGCAGCUAUUUUGGAGACCCUUCCUAUAUCAGAAUUUGGACAGGAAAAAAUGGUCCACUCAAAAGGGGAAGUUGAGAGUUAUUAUUUACAAAGACGUGGGCGGGGUUCAGGAAAACAACUCAGGGUGGCACAACUGGAGCUAUUAAGGGCCGAAUUGUGUCCCCUCCCCAAAAUUCAUAUGCUGGAGUCCUAACCGCCACUCCCCACCCCCACCCCGGGACCUCAGAAUGUGACUGUAUUUGAAGAUAGGGUCUUUAAUGAGGGAAUUUAGUUAAAUGAGGUCCCAAGUUAUUUAGCAAGUCGUCCAAGCCCUUUUAUACUCCUGCCCCAUCUAAUUUUUCUGCAUCACUUGUGUCCUUCACUCCCUGGAUGCCUAUGCUCAGGAUUUAGGGAACUACUUACUCUUCUCCCAGGAAGGGUGUGCUACAAUUGGCUUCUACGGCCUAGCAAGCAUACUGUUCACCUCUUCCCAGCUGCCUUAGCUCAGGCUGCCAUAACAAAUGCCAUAGACUGGGCAGCUUAAACAACAGGCAUUUGUUUCUCAUAGUUCUGGAGGCUGGGAAGUCCAAGAUCAAAUGCAGGCAGAUUUAGCUCAUUUAGGGGAAGCUCUCCUCAUGGCUUGCAAAUGGUUACCUUCUCACUGUGUCCUUACAUGGGGUAGAGAGAGGGCUCUGUCUUCCCUUUCUUCUAAGGCAUCAGCCGUAUUGGAUUAGGGACUCACCCUUAUGAUCUCAUUUAACCAGAUUUGCUGCCUAAAGACCCUGUCUCCAAAUAGUCACAUUGAGGGUUAGGGAUUCAGCAUAUGAAUUUGGGGGGCACCCAGUUUAGCCCAUAGCACCAACUCUGCCUUUGUUGACUUCACAUUAAUAGCUUGAAAUCAGCCAUAGUAGGAGUAUUUAUACCACAGAAAUGGACAAACUAUAAACUGGAACUUUGGGGGAGAGGCAAUUAUUAAUCUUUUCCCACAUACCCCUACUUGUUAUUCUGUCACUUCUGUGAUCUUACAAGCAGGUCCCUCUGCUUAGAAUUCUCUUACCCAUUCCAAACUCAGACAAAGUUUCUCUUUUCUGAAGCUUUCCCCUACCCUCUGACAGCAAUAGGCUCUUGCAUCUCCUGUGUACCCCCAAACCAAUAUUUCUAAUGUCAUUAUUAUAGUAGUUAUUGAUUUGGAUUUUAAUCCAUUUUCCCUACCAUUUCCUAGCCCUUACUCUAAGCUGGGCAUUAUUUUAAACACCCCACCCAAGGGGUUCUUCCUGCCCACUGCAUAAAGAAAGACCAUAGCAUUGUGGUAGAAAAAGAGCUUAAUAGACACGAGGCCGACCAUGCCAGGUGGGAGAUGGAGUGCAUGCUCAGGUCAUCUGAUCCAAAGUCCGAAGCUCAUAGGCUGGGGGUUUUUCAAACGCAGUUUGGAGGAAGGGGUGGGAGUGGCCAGGUAACAGGUGCUUGCUGCUGAUUGGUUGAGGCUGAGAUGAAAUCAUAGGGGGAGUCAAAGCUGUCCUCCUGCAGUCUGAAUCACUUCUGGGUGGGGCUGUGGG